CAAUCCCGCUGCCACAAGAAAUCGGCAGGUCUGAAAGCCUACCAUGCGACCGUAUAAAUGGUGGGCCAACAAAAUCUAUCCGGGAUUCUGUUUAGUUUCCUCGUGUGAAUCCUUCAACUCUCGUUCCACCGAACCCCGUAUUGGACAACUUGUGUUGGGUGGACAUUAAUGCUGUAAAAUAAGAAUAAUUGGACACCUGGCUUUCGUAAUAGCAAGUGGUGGGGGACAAGCCCACCAAAGUUGUCUCUAUAUUUGUUCAACUGCGAUCAUUUUCCACCGGAAAACCGACAACACAUGCAUCGAACUGGCUAUAGAAGAAAGAUACAAGCACGAUAUGGAUGAACCCAAGGCUUGAACCUUAUCCAUUACAGCUCCACGAACCAGUUUUACAAAUAUACCCAUGGAAUAUACGAAACAGAGCAAAAGGGUAACACAAAAAGUUAGCCCUCCCUUCACUCCUUUUUCAAAAUAAUGAUUUUUAUCCGACAUACUUUACUUAAGAUAGUAAAG
RNAcentral lists this long non-coding RNA (510 nucleotides) under Elaeis guineensis (African oil palm). Its description in RNAcentral is "long non-coding RNA (EGUI_LNC000585)". Lineage: Eukaryota; Viridiplantae; Streptophyta; Magnoliopsida; Arecales; Arecaceae. The record is from RNAcentral.